CCGGGUUCAAUAAAUUCUCCUGCUUCAGCCUCCCUAGUAGCUGGGAUUACAGGCAUGUGCCACCACGCCCAGCUAAUUUUUGUAUUUUUAGUAGAGACAGGGUUUUACCAUGUUGGUCAGGCUGGCCUCGAGCUCCUGACCUCAGGUGAUCUGCCUGCCUUGGCCUCCCAAAGCACUGGGAUUACAGGUGUGAGCCACCGCGCCUGGCCUCAGAGGGUUUUAAGCAGGAGAGUGAUCAUAUUUUGGGCAGAUCAUUUGAACCCAGGAGUUUGAGGCUGCAGGGAGCGAUGAUUGUGCCACUGCACUCCAGCCUGGGCAACAGAGCGAGACUCUGUCUCCAAAAAAAAAAAAAAAGAACUGGAGGAGGCAAGAGUAGAAGCAGGGGGAUGAGUUACUGCUGUUGUCCAGGCAAGAGAUGAUGGUGACUUGAGCCAGGUGAUGGUGGGUGAAGAUGGAGCAAAGUGGAUGUCUUGGGAACGUAUUUUGAAGGUAGAUCUGGAGGUUUUUGUUGGUUUUGAAUGGGGGAUGGGAGAAAGGGUAGAAUGGCUUACAGAUUUUGAGGGUUUGGCAACCCGGUGGGUGGAUGGUGACUGAUUUGGGGAUGGAAAAGAUGAGGGACAGGACUGAACACGUGUGGCCUCAGGCGUGUGGUUUAGGGCAAGGCAAGUUGAAGAGGCAUGGUGAGUUGGCAGUGAAGUUUUGAAUCUAAGGUUUAGAGGAGAGAUCAGGGCUAGACAUUCAGAUGUGGCAGUCUCAAUCAUUUAGACAAUACUGAAAGUCAAGGAACUGAAGAUGAAUAACUAACACAAGAAUCUAGGCAGAAAAGACCAAGAUUUGGAGCCAGGCAUGGUGGCUCACUUCUGUAAUACUAGCGCUUUGGGAAGCUGAGGUGGGAGGAUUGCUUGAGCCCAGGAGUUUGAUACUAGCCUGGGCAACAUAGUGAGAUGUUUUCUAUAUUAUUAAUGUUUACUUAUUUAUUUAUUUAUAUUUUAUUAUUAUUAUUAUUUUGAGAUGGAGUCUUGAUGUGUUGCCCAGGCUGGAGUGCAGUGGCACGAUCUCGGCUCACUGCAACCUCUGUUCAAAUGAUACUCCUGCCUCAGCCUCCCGAGUAGCUGGGACUACAGGCAUACACCACCACGCUUGGCUAAUUUUUUUAUUUUUAUUAGAGACGGGGUCUCACCAUGUUGGCCAGGCGGGAGUACAGUGGUGUAAUCACAGCUCGCUGCAGCCUCGAACUCCUGGACUCAAGUGAUCCUGCUGCCUCAGCCUCCCAAAGUGCUGGGGUUACAGGCAUCAGCCACCGUGCCCCAGUAACUAGCUCUUUAUGAGCCUAUCUUCCCAAGAGACGGGAUCCAUGAGUCUUUUCAAAUCAAAGGUGAGAACAAGCCAGUCAGGUGAGUGUGAGGUGAGGUUCCAGACAGCGGGAACUGCAAGCACAAAGGAUCUUGAUUUGUUUGAAGUCCCAGGGAAGGCUGAUGGGCCAGCAGGUAGUGAGAGAGGUAGAGAGAGUGCCAUGAGAUGAAGCUGGAGAUCUGUAGCAGGGGUGGGAAAUUGCUGGAAAAGCUGUUUCUGCACUUUGAACAGGAGAAAAAUGGAUUGAAUUGAUUUACCUAUUUUUUGUUGUUGAUGUUAAUAGUAUUUACAUAACUGGCUAUGUAAAUAUUCAAUGUUGGCCAGGCACGGUGACUCACACCUGUAAUCCCAGGAUUACUUUGGGAGGCCGAGGCAGGUGGAUCACUUGAGAUCAGGAGUUCCAGACCAGCCUGGCCAACAUGGUGAAACCCUGUUUCUACUGAAAAUACAAAAAGUAGUCAGGCAUGGUGGUGUCUGCCUGUAAUCCCAGCUACUCGGGAGGCUGAGGCGGGAGAAUCGCUUGAACCUAGGAGGCACAGGUUGCAGUGACCCGCCAUCAUGCCACUGCACUCCAGCCUGGGCAACACCGUGAGACUCU
RNAcentral lists this long non-coding RNA (1951 nucleotides) under Homo sapiens (human). RNAcentral describes it as "non-protein coding lnc-ZNF771-1:1". The record is from RNAcentral. Lineage: Eukaryota; Metazoa; Chordata; Mammalia; Primates; Hominidae.